RNAcentral lists this ribosomal RNA (406 nucleotides) under uncultured bacterium. Its description in RNAcentral is "partial 16S ribosomal RNA". It matches the Rfam family "Bacterial small subunit ribosomal RNA", at positions 28 to 526 of the family's 1533-position model. The record is from RNAcentral.
GAUGAACGCUAGCUACAGGCUUAACACAUGCAAGUCGAGGGACCGGCGCACGGGUGAGUAACACGUAUCCAACCUGCCCUUUACUCGGGGAUAGCCUUUCGAAAGAAAGAUUAAUACCCGAUAUAAAGGAUGGGGAUUCGUUCCAUUAGGUUGUUGGUGAGUGAACGGCCCACCAAGCCUUCGAUGGAUAGGGGUUCUGAGAGGAAGGUCCCACACGUUGUAACUGAGACACGUUCUAAACUCCUACGGGAGGCAGCAGGGAGGAAUAUUGGUCAAUGGGCGUUAGCCUGAACCAGCCAAGUAGCGUGAAGGAUGAAGGCUUAUGGGUCGUAAACUUCUUUUAUAGAAGAAUAUGUAUUAUAUGAAUAAGGAUCGGCUAACUCCGUGCCAGCAGCCGCGGUAAUUC